Molecule: ribosomal RNA, 440 nt
Filed under: uncultured bacterium
Lineage: Bacteria
Description: partial 16S ribosomal RNA
Rfam family: Bacterial small subunit ribosomal RNA
Source: RNAcentral
CCUACGGGAGGCAGCAGUGGGGGAUAUUGCACAAUGGGGGAAACCCUGAUGCAGCGACGCCGCGUGUGGGAAGACGGUCCUCUGGAUUGUAAACCCCUGUCCCCAGGGACGAAGUUAACGGUACCUGGGGAGGAAGCUCCGGCUAACGACGUGCCAGCAGCCGCGGUAAUACGUAGGGAGAGAGCGUAGUCCGGAAUUACUGGGGGAAAGGGGAGCGUAGGCGGGACUUGAAGUUGGGUGUCAAAUCUACCGGCUCAACCGGUAGCCGCACUCAAAACUGCAGUUCUUGAGUGAAGUAGAGGCAGGCGGAAUUCCUAGUGUAGCGGUGAAAUGCGUAGAUAUUAGGAGGAACACCAGUGGCGAAGGCGGCCUGCUGGGCUUUGACUGACGCUGAGGCUCGAAAGUGUGGGGAGCAAACAGGAUUAGAUACCCCAGUAGUC